Vombatus ursinus (common wombat) is the source of this 2575-nucleotide RNA transcript. It is a transcript of the gene named zinc finger and BTB domain containing 8A, with no coding region annotated. Lineage: Eukaryota; Metazoa; Chordata; Mammalia; Diprotodontia; Vombatidae. The record is from RefSeq and is a predicted model, not a curated record. The transcript is spliced from 6 exons.
UACAAAUAUCUUCUCACUUGAUCCUCACAACAACCCUGAGAGGAAGUAUAAGAUAACCAAAAUUGACAGAUUUGGACAAUCCCCUGUUUUGAAUCUAUUUCGCCUAACUGGUUUUUCAGGAGUGGUACCCAUUAAUUUAUAGGGAUGGAGAUUGCCUCUCAUCAGUCUCACCUGUUGCAACAACUUAAUGAGCAGCGAAGGCAAGAUGUGUUUUGUGACUGCAGUAUUCUAGUUGAAGGGAAGGUCUUCAAAGCACAUAGAAAUGUGCUAUUUGCAAGUAGUGGCUACUUUAAAAUGCUUCUUUCUCAGAGCUCAAAGGAGACUAGUCAGCCAACCACAGCUACAUUUCAAGCAUUCUCACCUGAUACUUUUACUGUUAUUCUGGACUUUGUAUAUUCAGGCAAACUUUCUCUCACUGGUCAAAAUGUCAUAGAAGUGAUGUCAGCUGCUAGUUUCCUUCAGAUGACUGAUGUCAUUAGUGUAUGUAAGACCUUCAUUAAGUCUUCACUUGAUAUAAGUGAGAAAGAGAAGGAUCGCUAUUUCAGUCUCUCAGAUAAAGAUGCCAAUUCCAAUGGUGUAGCAGAACGUUCUUCUUCUUAUAAUGCAGGGUGGUGUGGAGAAAGCAGCCCUCCACAAUCUCAUGUAAGUCCAGACCAAGGAACAUGUACUAUGAGUGGAAAAACUUGGAGUAAUUACAACUACUAUCCAGCUUCCCAAAGGAGCACUCAGCAACACCCACCCAAACAUGAACAAAGACAAGAUUCUGUUAAAAAGUCCAGGCAUUUGGGAUUACCACAGUCUACAGAUGUUCCUCAUUACAAGUCAAGCAAGCUUGAAGAGCGAACUUCUGAGCCUCCUAAUCACACUCCUCCAUCUGAAGAAAAGGUACAAAAUGAUGCUGAAAUUGACUUCCCUCGUGUGGGGCAUAAGUAUGGCAAAGUAUCUGAUGUUACACCCAGAAGCCUACCAGGCUCCCAACAAGAACAAGAAUCCUCUCGAUCUACAUCCAAGUCACCUAAAACUGAUGAACCAUAUUCCAAUAUGCCUUUAAUUUUAGGUGUUAUGGGCAGCUGGAAUGAAGAUGAACUGCCUAGAAUGAGAUUCAAAUGCCCAUUCUGCACACAUGUGGUGAAACGGAAAGCAGACCUAAAGCGCCACCUUCGCUGCCAUACAGGAGAACGGCCUUACCCUUGUGAGGCCUGUGGGAAGAGAUUCAGCAGGCUAGACCAUCUAAGUAGCCAUUUUCGAACAAUUCAUCAGGCAUGCAAGCUAAUCUGCCGAAAAUGCAAGCGUCAUGUGACUGAUCUAACUGGACAAGUGGUACAGGAGGGAACAAGGCGCUACAGACUGUGCAAUGAGUGCCUUGCUGAAGCUGGCAUAGACAGCAUCCCCAUUGAUUUGGGUGCUGAACAACCACUUGCAUCCCCUUCAGAUGGAGAUAAGAAGUCAAAAUGGCAACUGAGUGAAGGACAAAAAAAGUCUUAUGUGGAGAUUGUAGAGGAUGGGUCUGCUGAUCUGGUCAUACAACAGGUUGAUGAUAGUGAAGAUGAAGAAGAAGAAAAGGAAAUAAAGCCCAACAUUAGGUAGUUGUGAAACAACUGACCUAGCAUGUCUUAUAUUUGAAUUCUUAUAUUUCUCUCUUCCCCUGACAAGAGUCUGGUUAACACAUCUAUCAUAUUGGCUUUUUUAAAUGACCUGAUCUAAUUUGCAUGCAUUUAUGGACAAACCAUUAAGUUCACAUUCUGAACUAUAUUACUGUGGGGUACCAGUAUGUUGCUGCAUUGGAAAAGAGGACAUAGCUUGAGUUGGCAUGACGGAUGAACAACUGAUCUCUGAACUAUAAUAUAGUAAUACUUUUUAUAUAUUAGAAGAUCAACUUGAGAAAUUUUUCAGUGAUAAACAUUUAAGAUAAAUUAACUAUAGCCAAACAUGAAACUUUAUAAGACUUUCCAGAUGCUUUUUUAUAAAAUAGAUAAGCUAUCACAUAUUGCAUAUUCCUGGGGAAAAAAGGAAACUGGUUUAAUUUGGAGUGAAGAUUACAGUAGUAGACAUUUUGUUCCAAUCACCAACUUCUGAACUCUGUCACAACUGUCAAUGGAAGAGUGUUAACUGAUGAGCUUGGAUCCUUGCAGAAACAAUGUGGAACAUAAAUUCUCCAUUUAAAUGCAGUUCUGCCUGGAGGCAGCAAAAUGAACAAAUAACUUCUUGAAUUCUCUGAAUUCUAUCAUCUUAAGGUCUCCUGCCCUACAUCACUUAAUUGUUUAUGUAAGCAAAUGAACAUAUAACAAAGAAGCUGGCUUUUGGAAUAGCAAGAGACAUUCUUAAUAUACUCAGCUUUUCCUAUAAAUAUGGCUAAGUUAGCUCUGAAGUUUUCAAUGAAGGUCAAAACUUAAAUAUAGUAUUUAGCAACAUUAGCUCUGAGCAAUUAAAUUAAGUCACUUAACCUGAGUCUCCUUUUCCUCAUCUAUAAAAUGGAGGUAGUAUAAUACAGUGAUAAGAGCACAGGAUUUAGAGUCAGACGACCUCAGUUUAAAUUUGUCACUGCCACUUACUACCUGCAUGACAUUGGGCAAGU